AUACAUGCAGUCGAGCGGACAUUUUAUUGUGUGCUUGCACCUUUAAAAUUUUACCGGCGGAUGGGUGAGUAACACGUGGGUAACCUAACUGAUAGAUUGGGAUAACUCCGGGAAACCGGGGCUAAUACCGAAUAAUACUUUUUAACACAUGUUUAAAAAUUGAAAGACGGUUUCGGCUGUCACUAUAACAUGGACCCGCGGCGCAUUAGCUAAUUGGUGAGGUAACGGCUCACCAAGGCAACGAUGCAUAUCCGACCUGAGAGGGUGAUCGGCCAACCUGGGACUGACACACAGCCCAAACUCCUACGGGAGGCAGCAGUAGGGAAUCUUCCACAAUGGACGAAAGUCUGAUGGACCAACGCCGCGUGAGUGAAGAAGGAUUUCGGAUCGUAAAACUCUGUUGCUAAGGGAAAAACAAAUAAAGUAGUAACUGGCUGCUACCUUGACGGUACCUUGUCUAGAAAGCCACGGCUAACUACGUGCCACCAGCCGCGGUAAUACGUAGGUGGCAACCGUUGUCCCGGAAAUUAUUGGGCGUAAAGCGCGGCGCAAGGUGGUUCCCUUAAGUCUGAUGUGAAAGGCCCCCCGGCUCAACCGUGGAAGGGUCAUUGGAAACUGGGGGACUUGAGUGGCAGAAGAGGAGAGUGGAAUUUCAAGUGGUAGCGGUGAAAUGCGUAGAGGAUUUGGAGGAACCCCAGUGGCGAAGGCGACUGUUUUGGUUUGUAACUGACACUGAGGCGCGAAAGCGUGGGGAGCAAACAGGAUUAGAUACCCUGGUAGUUCACGCCGUAAACGAUGAGUGCUAAGUGUUAGGGGGUUUUCGCCCCUUAGUGGUGCAGCUAACGCAUUUAGCACUCCGCCUGGGGAGUACGGUCGCCAGGCUGAAACUCAAAGGAAUUGACGGGGGCCCGCACCAGCGGUGGAGCAUGUUGGUUAAUUUGAAGCAACGGGAAGAACCUUACCCGGUUUUGACAUCCCGGUGACCCCUAUGGAGAAAUAGGUUCCCCUUUGGGGGCAACGGUGACAGGUGGUGCAUGGUUGUUGUCAGCUUGUGUUGUGAGAUGUUGGGUUAAGUCCCGCAACGAGCGCAACCCUUUUUUUUAGUUGCCAUCCUUCAGUUGGGCACUUUAAGGAGACUGCCGGUGAUAAACCGGAGGAAGGUGGGGAAGAAGUCAAAUCAUCAUGCCCCUUAUGACCUGGGGUACCCACGUGGUACAAUGGACGGUACAAACGGUUGCCAACCCGCGAGGGGGAAGUAAUUCCAUAAAACCGUUUUCAGUUUGGAUUGUAGGGUGCAAAUUGCCUACCUGAAACCGGAAUUGGUUGUAAUUGGGGAUCAGCAUGCCGCGGUGAAUACGUUUCCGGGCCUUGGUCACACCGCCCGUCACCCCCCGAGAGUUUGUAACACCCGAAGUCGGUGAGGUAACCUUUAUGGAGCCAGCCG
Molecule: ribosomal RNA, 1444 nt
Filed under: uncultured bacterium
Lineage: Bacteria
Description: bacterial SSU rRNA
Rfam family: Bacterial small subunit ribosomal RNA
Source: RNAcentral